Molecule: long non-coding RNA, 226 nt
Filed under: Elaeis guineensis (African oil palm)
Lineage: Eukaryota; Viridiplantae; Streptophyta; Magnoliopsida; Arecales; Arecaceae
Description: long non-coding RNA (EGUI_LNC073181)
Source: RNAcentral
CCAGAUUGAUACAUGUACCUUAUGGGGUUUUAUCGGAUUAAAAUCUGGAUUGAUAUUUAUGUCGUUCGGGGCUUUACUGAAUUGGAAUCUGGAUUGAUAUAUGUGCCUUAUGGGGCUUAUCGGAUUGAAAUCUAGAUUGGUAUUCAUACCCUUUGGAGCUUUACUGGACUAAAAUUCAGAUUGAUACAUGUUGUUGCUCCAAGAUUGAUUUUGAUGAUUACAAAGC